This 2036-nucleotide long non-coding RNA is filed under the name Phaseolus vulgaris (common bean). RNAcentral describes it as "long non-coding RNA (PVUL_LNC001655)". The record is from RNAcentral. Lineage: Eukaryota; Viridiplantae; Streptophyta; Magnoliopsida; Fabales; Fabaceae.
AAAGAUCAAUAACCUGAACUAAGGAGCCAAAUCAAAUAGGAACAAAGAGAAGAGACUACUGAUAAUAUGAGAUUAAGACACCCACCAUGAUGUGAUUCCAAUAGCCACAUAGAACAAGAUUCUUGACACUUUGAGGAAUCACCUUGAGCUGGAAAAUGUAGAGGCACUUUCUUAGAAGUUGGAUCAUGGUUCUAAGAUCAAGAACUCACCAAAACAAGUACCAAAUCCCAAACUCAUUUGGAUGAACCAAAUAUUGUCAAAUUGAAUCAACAAAGGAGAAGGAAAAGAAUAAACCGAACAGAAUUGAACUUAAAAACAAAAGAACCGAACAGAAUUUAAAAACUAAACAGAAUAAAGGUGCUGGAAAAAUUAAAGGAACUGAAACAAAAACAACUCAAAACUCAAGGCAACAAGAACAAAUUGAAGAAGAAGAAAGGAAGGAGAAGAGAAUGCUCAUGAAGAUGGAGGAAUGGUUGGAUGAUCACGCCACUAGAAGAAUGGAUGCUCCUAGAUGAGUGUGGAAGCCGCCACUUGAGGAAACCAUGGUCCUUCAAGAUAAGACUAGAGAAGAAGCUCAAAGCUCUCCAAAUGCUCACUCCAAUUUUGAGUAUAGUUUCUUUAGAUAAAAUUCAAAUCUCCAUUUUACAAAGGAAGCACCUCUAUUUAUAGCCUAAGGUGCUGAAAAAUAGGUGGGAAAUUUCAAAUAAACUCAUUUGAAAUUCCCACCAAAAACAAGUCACAUGGGAGGUGUGACCUUUUUCUACUAUGACACCUCCCAAAAACUAUACCUACACCACUCUCCUAAGUCACAUGGACAAUGUGACUUUAUUUUACAUUUUCACACACCUUUAUUUAAUAACCACACCUCCUAAAACUAUACAAGAGUAUUUCAAAGCUUGGCCUUGCCCCUCAUGGGAUGGACUUGGGCUCUUUGGGCUUUGGCCUUCUUGGGCUUGGGCUUGGGCUUUGGGCUUGGGCCUCAUCUUUAUUUUAUGUCUUCUUUUAAUUUUGAGAAGACUAGAAGGAAGAACUUCAAAUGUGAGGGUGGAUGUCCUCUUCCUCCAUUAAUAAAAGCCUCCUUUAUUUGAUUCUCAUCAUACUCCUCGAGUUGGAGAGAAUUCGUCCACGAUUUCUGAAUCCCUGCAUAUAANNNNNNNNNNNNNNNNNNNNNNNNNNNNNNNNNNNNNNNNNNNNNNNNNNNNNNNNNNNNNNNNNNNNNNNNNNNNNNNNNNNNNNNNNNNNNNNNNNNNUUAUGUGGUUGUAGUUCUUGGUUGAUGAACACGCCACUUGAAGUGUGAAUGCUCCAAGAUAAGUGUGCAAUGCCGCCACUUGAGAGAACCAAGGCACUCAAGAUGAGACUAGGAAGAGGAGAAAUCAAAUCUCACUCACUCAAUCACCAAAUUGGGAGAGUUUCUUUAGAUAAAAUUCAAAUCUCCAUUUUACAAAGGAAGCACCUCUAUUUAUAGCCUAAGGUGCUGAAAAAAUAGGUGGGAAAUUUCAAAUAAACUCAUUUGAAAUUCCCACCAAAAACAAGUCACAUGGGAGGUGUGACCUUUUUCUACUAUGACACCUCCCAAAAACUAUACCUACACCACUCUCCUAAGUCACAUGGACAAUGUGACUUUAUUUUACAUUUUCACACACCUUUAUUUAAUAACCACACCUCCUAAAACUAUACAAGAGUAUUUCAAAGCUUGGCCUUGCCCCUCAUGGGAUGGACUUGGGCUCUUUGGGCUUUGGCCUUCUUGGGCUUGGGCUUGGGCUUUGGGCUUGGGCCUCAUCUUUAUUUUAUGUCUUCUUUUAAUUUUGAGAAGACUAGAAGGAAGAACUUCAAAUGUGAGGGUGGAUGUCCUCUUCCUCCAUUAAUAAAAGCCUCCUUUAUUUGAUUCUCAUCACACCAUGUAUGAGUUAAUUUGCCAAAUCAAAAGAAUCAAUAGAAAAUCUUGCAUAUAGGUUUUAGAAAAAUAUGAUUUACGCAUUUUAACUACUUUUUCUUAUGCAAUUAACAUAUAUAUGAUUCAGUUAUUGAGUUCCAA